Molecule: ribosomal RNA, 427 nt
Filed under: uncultured archaeon
Lineage: Archaea
Description: bacterial SSU rRNA
Rfam family: Archaeal small subunit ribosomal RNA
Source: RNAcentral
UACCAGCUCUCCGAGUGGUAGGGAUGAUUAUUGGGCUUAAAGCGUUCGUAGCCGGCUUAGCAAGUCUCCUGUUAAAUUCAGCGACCUAAUCGUUGAGCCGCGGGAGAUACUACUAGGCUAGGAGGCGGGAGAGGUCAACGGUACUUCCGGGGUAGGGGUGAAAUCCUAUAAUCCCGGGAGGACCACCAGUGGCGAAGGCUGUUGACUAGAACGCGCUCGACGGUGAGGGACGAGAGCUGGGGGAGCGAACCGGAUUAGAUACCCGGGUAGUCCCAGCUGUAAACGAUGCGAGCUAGGUGUUGGGGUGGCUACGUGCCACUUCAGUGCCGCAGGGAAGCCAUUAAGCUCGCCGCCUGGGGAGUACGGCCGCAAGGCUGAAACUUAAGGAAUUGGCGGGGAGCACCACAAGGCGUGAAGCUUGCGGUUC